UAUUGGUCAAUGGACGCAAGUCUGAACCAGCCAUGCCGCGUGCAGGAUGAAUGCCCUCUGGGUUGUAAACUGCUUUUAUCAGGGAAUAAACCUCUUUACGUGUAGAGAGCUGAAGGUACUUGAUGAAUAAGCACCGGCUAACUCCGUGCCAGCAGCCGCGGUAAUACGGAGGGUGCAAGCGUUAUCCGGAUUUAUUGGGUUUAAAGGGUGCGUAGGCGGGACUGUAAGUCAGGGGUGAAAUACUGCAGCUUAACUGUAGCAUUGCCUUUGAAACUGCCGUUCUUGAGUACAGUUGAGGUAGGCGGAAUGUGGUGUGUAGCGGUGAAAUGCAUAGAUAUACCACAGAACGCCGAUUGCGAAGGCAGCUUACUAAGCUGUUACUGACGCUGAGGCACGAAAGCGUGGGGAUCAAACAGG
RNAcentral lists this ribosomal RNA (417 nucleotides) under uncultured bacterium. RNAcentral describes it as "bacterial SSU rRNA". It matches the Rfam family "Bacterial small subunit ribosomal RNA", at positions 362 to 776 of the family's 1533-position model. The record is from RNAcentral.